UGGGAAUAUUGGACAAUGGGCGGAAGCCUGAUCCAGCAACGCCGCGUGAGGGAUGACGGCCUUCGGGUUGUAAACCUCUUUCAGCACAGACGAAGCGCAAGUGACGGUAUGUGCAGAAGAAGGACCGGCCAACUACGUGCCAGCAGCCGCGGUAAUACGUAGGGUCCGAGCGUUGUCCGGAAUUNUUGGGCGUAAAGGGCUCGUAGGCGGUUUGUCGCGUCGGGAGUGAAAACACCGGGCUUAACUCGGUGCUUGCUUUCGAUACGGGCAGACUAGAGGCAUUCAGGGGAGAACGGAAUUCCUGGUGUAGCGGUGAAAUGCGCAGAUAUCAGGAGGAACACCGGUGGCGAAGGCGGUUCUCUGGGAAUGUCCUGACGCUGAGGAGCGAAAGUGUGGGGAGCGAACNGGAUUAGAUNCCCUGGUAGUCCACACCGUAAAANGUUGGGGCGCUAGGUGUGGGAUCCCAAUUCCCANGGGGUUUCCCGUGCCGCAGCUAACGCAUUUAAGCGCCCCCGCCUGGGGGAGUACGGCCGC
This 534-nucleotide ribosomal RNA is filed under the name uncultured bacterium. RNAcentral's name for it is "partial 16S ribosomal RNA". It matches the Rfam family "Bacterial small subunit ribosomal RNA", at positions 356 to 889 of the family's 1533-position model. The record is from RNAcentral.